GGCCGGUUAGCUCAGUCAGUUAGAGUGUGGUGCUAAUAACACCAAAGCCACAGGUUCGAUCCUGGUUUGGUCC
This 73-nucleotide transfer RNA is filed under the name Apaloderma vittatum (bar-tailed trogon). It matches the Rfam family "tRNA". Rfam says of the family: Transfer RNA (tRNA) molecules are approximately 80 nucleotides in length. Their secondary structure includes four short double-helical elements and three loops (D, anti-codon, and T loops). Further hydrogen bonds mediate the characteristic L-shaped molecular structure. tRNAs have two regions of fundamental functional importance: the anti-codon, which is responsible for specific mRNA codon recognition, and the 3' end, to which the tRNAs corresponding amino acid is attached (by aminoacyl-tRNA synthetases). tRNAs cope with the degeneracy of the genetic code in two manners: having more than one tRNA (with a specific anti-codon) for a particular amino acid; and 'wobble' base-pairing, i.e. permitting non-standard base-pairing at the 3rd anti-codon position. Lineage: Eukaryota; Metazoa; Chordata; Aves; Trogoniformes; Trogonidae. The record is from Rfam by way of RNAcentral.